RNAcentral lists this non-coding RNA (26 nucleotides) under Mus musculus (house mouse). Lineage: Eukaryota; Metazoa; Chordata; Mammalia; Rodentia; Muridae. The record is from RNAcentral.
UGACUAACUUCUGCUUGGUGGACCUU